RNAcentral lists this ribosomal RNA (254 nucleotides) under uncultured bacterium. Its description in RNAcentral is "partial 16S ribosomal RNA". It matches the Rfam family "Bacterial small subunit ribosomal RNA", at positions 524 to 776 of the family's 1533-position model. The record is from RNAcentral.
UACGUAGGGACCAAGCGUUGUUCGGAUUUACUGGGCGUAAAGGGCGCGUAGGCGGCAUUGUUAGUCACUUGUGAAAUCUCCGGGCUUAACCCGGAACGGCCAAGUGAUACUGCAGUGCUAGAGUGCGGAAGGGGCAAUCGGAAUUCUUGGUGUAGCGGUGAAAUGCGUAGAUAUCAAGAGGAACACCUGAGGUGAAGACGGGUUGCUGGGCCGACACUGACGCUGAGUGCGCGAAAGCCAGGGGAGCAAACGGG